AAUGAACGCUGGCGGCGUGCCUAACACAUGCAAGUCGAGCGGUAAGGCCCCUUCGGGGGUACACGAGCGGCGAACGGGUGAGUAACGCGUGGGUAACCUACCCAGAAGUGGGGGAUAGCCCCGGGAAACCGGGGGUAAUACCGCAUGUGCUUCGGUCGACGCGAGUCGACCGAUGGAAAGACGGGGAUCCUUCGGGACCUGGCGCUUCUGGAUGGGCCCGCGUCCGAUUAGCUAGUUGGCAGGGUAAAGGCCUACCAAGGCGACGAUCGGUAGCCGGCCUGAGAGGGUGUCCGGCCACAUUGGGACUGAGACACGGCCCAGACUCCUACGGGUGGCAG
This 338-nucleotide ribosomal RNA is filed under the name uncultured Acidobacteriota bacterium. RNAcentral describes it as "bacterial SSU rRNA". It matches the Rfam family "Bacterial small subunit ribosomal RNA", at positions 28 to 351 of the family's 1533-position model. Lineage: Bacteria; Pseudomonadati; Acidobacteriota. The record is from RNAcentral.